This 1019-nucleotide ribosomal RNA is filed under the name Leptolyngbya sp. CR_L33. RNAcentral describes it as "bacterial SSU rRNA". It matches the Rfam family "Bacterial small subunit ribosomal RNA", at positions 414 to 1445 of the family's 1533-position model. Lineage: Bacteria; Bacillati; Cyanobacteriota; Cyanophyceae; Leptolyngbyales; Leptolyngbyaceae. The record is from RNAcentral.
GCCUGUGGGUUGUAAACCUCUUUUCUCAGGGAAGAACUCUGACGGUACCUGAGGAAUAAGCAUCGGCUAACUCCGUGCCGGCAGCCGCGGUAAGACGGAGGAUGCAAGCGUUAUCCGGAAUUAUUGGGCGUAAAGCGUCCGUAGGCGGUCGAUUAAGUCUGCUGUCAAAGACUACAGCUCAACUGUGGAUAGGCAGUGGAAACUGAUUGACUAGAGUACGGUAGGGGUAGAGGGAAUUCCCAGUGUAGCGGUGAAAUGCGUAGAUAUUGGGAAGAACACCAGUGGCGAAGGCGCUCUACUGGGCCGUAACUGACGCUGAGGGACGAAAGCUAGGGGAGCGAAAGGGAUUAGAUACCCCUGUAGUCCUAGCUGUAAACGAUGGAUACUAGGUGUUGGCCGUAUCGACCCGGUCAGUAUCGAAGCUAACGCGUUAAGUAUCCCGCCUGGGGAGUACGCACGCAAGUGUGAAACUCAAAGGAAUUGACGGGGGCCCGCACAAGCGGUGGAGUAUGUGGUUUAAUUCGAUGCAACGCCGAAGAACCUUACCAGGGUUUUGACAUCCCGCGAACCUUUGUGAAAGCAGAGGGUGCCUUCGGGAGCGCGGAGACAGGUGGUGCAUGGCUGUCGUCAGCUCGUGUCGUGAGAUGUUGGGGUUAAGUCCCGCAACGAGCGCAACCCUUGUCCUUAGUUGCCAGCAUUCAGUUGGGCACUUUGAGGAGACUGCCGGGGACAACUCGGAGGAAGGUGGGGAUGACGUCAAGUCAUCAUGCCCCUUACGUCCUGGGCUACACACGUACUACAAUGCUCCGGACAGAGGGCAGCAAGCGUGCGAGCGCAAGCUAAUCCCAUAAACCGGGGCUCAGUUCAGAUUGCAGGCUGCAACUCGCCUGCAUGAAGGAGGAAUCGCUAGUAAUUGCAGGUCAGCAUACUGCGGUGAAUACGUUCCCGGGCCUUGUACACACCGCCCGUCACACCAUGGGAGUUGGCCACGCCCGAAGUGGUUACUAUAACCGUUCGCG